UUUCCUAUGUUGGAAAGAAUUUACGAUCUCAGUUGCUUUUCCUUUCUUUUUUCUUUUUGCCAGCUUCCUCCUCCUCCUCAUGCAAUAAAGAUCAAUUUGUCUGGGAGCCACUUCUUUUUGAUGAGAGACCGUUUCUGGGAGAGGUCUCGGGCUUCAAGGAGCACAUACAAGGUCAGUGUGGUACCCUGCGCAUUUACCUGAAGAUUAAAUGGUGCUGAUUACUAUCUUGGAGAUGUCAUGCAAUGAAAAUCUUGGCUUCCCUGUGGAAUAUGGGAGAUGUGGAGGAGGGUAAAUGAUUAUUUCGCCAGGUGAGCAAGUCUUCCAGGCAUCUCUCCAGCAUUGUGGUCAGGGCAAUCCCUGUGACUGCUAGUGAUGGUUUAGGAAUGAUUCACUUGGAAUUGUCUUCUGGGUUUACCUUUAGUGGGUAGUCAUUUCCAUGAUUACGAAUAAGAAUGUGCUUUCCAGGAUUCUGGAACAUUGUGAGUAGAAGAAAGAGAGUGACAACUUUGGGAGGUGACGGGAUCAUCUAAAAAAAUCCAGGGAAAGUAAAAAUUAGGAAAAAAUGAGCAACACUAAAUAUUGUAGAUAUCAGAGGGCAAAGUUCUCAUGAAGCCUCAGGGAAAAAAAGAAUCCUGGAAGAGAUAAAGUGUCGAGUUCCAAACACUGAGAAAAGAAGUGGAUUAAAUGAGUUAUUUCCAGGUUUUGAUGGAAGCUGAAGUGGAGAGAUUUCAAGGUGAGGUGAGAAGUAGGCUCAAUUCUAUCAACAUCCCACAGGUGACCAGGAUUUCCUCCGCUCAAAAUAGCAGCUGCUCCAUCUGACCUGGAGUAGAAUAUUUCUGAGUAGUUUCCAAAGCAGCUGAAUCCUGCCAUCCCUGGUAGUCCUGAACGCGCGAGGAAUUCUUUUCUUCCUUUCCUACAACUGUUUCUCCCCUCUAUUUAGUUCUGCUCCUCUUCCCCCACAGUCCCUGGUUAGAUUUCUGGCUACUGGGAUAGUUUAAUUGAAAAGGGUACAAGGCAAAUGGCCUGGCUUAGAAGCUGUAAGUGUGAUUUAAUGCCACUUUUCACAUUCAAUGGUGGGAGCCCACAGAGAAGCGUGCUAAAGACAAGAAUCUUCUACUGAAG
Molecule: long non-coding RNA, 1122 nt
Filed under: Canis lupus familiaris (dog)
Lineage: Eukaryota; Metazoa; Chordata; Mammalia; Carnivora; Canidae
Description: lncRNA (ENSCAFG00000056518.1)
Source: RNAcentral